GUUUACUAUUAUGUUGUGUGCGUUAAAUUGCUAAUUUUUGUUGUCUUUUUGGUAAUUUAAUUUAUCUAACUGCAUAGCCCCAAUUGUUGGUUUAUUUACAAUAGGUGUUUCAAUUAUGUUGUCUUGAUUUAUGUAACGUCUCUUUACGUAAUUUAUUGUUGAUUGGUAAAUAUGAGAUGUUGAUAUGUAAUUGAGAAUUAGUUGAUAAUGUGAAUC
RNAcentral lists this long non-coding RNA (216 nucleotides) under Carica papaya (papaya). RNAcentral describes it as "long non-coding RNA (CPAP_LNC001170)". The record is from RNAcentral. Lineage: Eukaryota; Viridiplantae; Streptophyta; Magnoliopsida; Brassicales; Caricaceae.